Molecule: long non-coding RNA, 515 nt
Organism: Anneissia japonica
Lineage: Eukaryota; Metazoa; Echinodermata; Crinoidea; Comatulida; Comatulidae
Exons: 5
Source: RefSeq, a predicted model, not a curated record
UUAUUUUCACAGAUACCUGAGAGGACUGAAAGUCCCCUCUGGAAGUGGGAGAGUUCCACUCUCAGCUCCUUAUGAGAGUUUGCGCUGGCUGACUGGAUUUAUUAAGCACAGAAAACUGUAUAAAAUGAUGUGCCAAAGAAAACUGUUGGAACUUUGGAGAAUUCAAUAAAAAAAAAACAGAAAAGUUCACCACGUAAAGAGGAAGAAGGUCAAUUGCUAAGAUCAGCAAUCCACAAGCUUUCGAGCACUGAAACUUCUAAAGAGGAUGACUGUUCUUUAUUUGGGAGCAUGAUUGCAGAAAAUACAUGUGUCUUGCCAAAAAAUAAACGGAGUUUGACUCAGCUUCGGCUGCAAGCAUGAAUAAUUUUGAAGAUGUAUUAUUUUCCUGCAAUGGUGGAAAUGAAGGAUGAGCUACAGUAAUAAUAAUAAUAAAUAAUAAUAAUAAUAAUAAUAAUAAUAAUAAUAAUAAUAAUAAUAAUAAUAAUAAUAAUAAUAAUAUUAAUGACAUUGCAGCG